RNAcentral lists this ribosomal RNA (253 nucleotides) under uncultured bacterium. Its description in RNAcentral is "partial 16S ribosomal RNA". It matches the Rfam family "Bacterial small subunit ribosomal RNA", at positions 524 to 776 of the family's 1533-position model. The record is from RNAcentral.
UACAGAGGGGGCAAGCGUUAUUCGGAAUUAUUGGGCGUAAAGGGCGCGUAGGCGGCUUGGCAAGUGGAUGGUGAAAUCCCUCGGCUUAACCGAGGAACUGCCGUCCAAACUGCUUCGCUUGAGACCGGGAGAGGUGAGUGGAAUUCCCAGUGUAGCGGUGAAAUGCGUAGAUAUUGGGAAGAACACCAGUGGCGAAGGCGGCUCACUGGCCCGCAACUGACGCUGAGGCGCGAAAGCGUGGGGAGCAAACAGG